Molecule: long non-coding RNA, 220 nt
Filed under: Homo sapiens (human)
Lineage: Eukaryota; Metazoa; Chordata; Mammalia; Primates; Hominidae
Description: HSALNT0120808
Source: RNAcentral
CCAGAUCCAACUAGCACAAUGUCAAUGAUGAAAUGGACCAGUGUCAUAUUCUGCGGGAUAUCAAGGCAAUCAAGAUCAUCUUGGACUGUAUUGUGACAGAGGGCCAGGGAGUGAACAGAGCCCUUAUAAUGUAGGACAGAUCUCAUAUAUCGCAGCAACAAAGAUGGCCCCCAGGAGUUCCAUGGACCCUUAUUUCUCAUCAUUUAGAAGGAGAAAGCAC